AACACAUGCAAGUCGAGGGGCAGCAUGGUCUUAGCUUGCUAAGGCCGAUGGCGACCGGCGCACGGGUGAGUAACACGUAUCCAACCUGCCGUCUACUCUUGGACAGCCUUCUGAAAGGAAGAUUAAUACAAGAUGGCAUCAUGAGUCCGCAUGUUCACAUGAUUAAAGGUAUUCCGGUAGACGAUGGGGAUGCGUUCCAUUAGAUAGUAGGCGGGGUAACGGCCCACCCAGUCUUCGAUGGAUAGGAGUUCUGAGAGGAAGGUCCCCCACAUUGGAACUGAGACACGGUCCAAACUCCUACGGGAGGCAGCAGUGAGGAAUAUUGGUCAAUGGGCGAGAGCCUGAACCAGCCAAGUAGCGUGAAGGAUGACUGCCCUAUGGGUUGUAAACUUCUUUUAUAAAGGAAUAAAGUCGGGUAUGUAUACCCGUUUGCAUGUACUUUAUGAAUAAGGAUCGGCUAACUCCGUGCCAGCAGCCGCGGUAAUACGGAGGAUCCGAGCGUUAUCCGGAUUUAUUGGGUUUAAAGGGAGCGUAGAUGGAUGUUUAAGUCAGUUGUGAAAGUUUGCGGCUCAACCGUAAAAUUGCAGUUGAUACUGGAUAUCUUGAGUGCAGUUGAGGCAGGCGGAAUUCGUGGUGUAGCGGUGAAAUGCUUAGAUAUCACGAAGAACUCCGAUUGCGAAGGCAGCCUGCUAAGCUGCAACUGACAUUGAGGCUCGAAAGUGUGGGUAUCAAACAGGGUUAGAUACCCUGGUAGUCCACACGGUAAACGAUGAAUACUCGCUGUUUGCGAUAUACAGCAAGCGGCCAAGCGAAAGCGUUAAGUAUUCCACCUGGGGAGUACGCCGGCAACGGUGAAACUCAAAGGAAUUGACGGGGGCCCGCACAAGCGGAGGAACAUGUGGUUUAAUUCGAUGAUACGCGAGGAACCUUACCCGGGCUUAAAUUGCAGAUGAAUUACGGUGAAAGCCGUAAGCCGCAAGGCAUCUGUGAAGGUGCUGCAUGGUUGUCGUCAGCUCGUGCCGUGAGGUGUCGGCUUAAGUGCCAUAACGAGCGCAACCCUUGUUGUCAGUUACUAACAGGUUUCGCUGAGGACUCUGACAAGACUGCCAUCGUAAGAUGUGAGGAAGGUGG
This 1131-nucleotide ribosomal RNA is filed under the name uncultured Bacteroides sp. RNAcentral describes it as "bacterial SSU rRNA". It matches the Rfam family "Bacterial small subunit ribosomal RNA", at positions 50 to 1176 of the family's 1533-position model. Lineage: Bacteria; Pseudomonadati; Bacteroidota; Bacteroidia; Bacteroidales; Bacteroidaceae. The record is from RNAcentral.